UACGGAGGGGGCUAGCGUUGUUCGGAAUUACUGGGCGUAAAGCGCGCGCAGGCGGUUGCUCAAGUCGGGCGUGAAAUCCCGGGGCUCAACCCCGGAACUGCGUUCGAGACUGGGCGACUCGAGUCCGGGAGAGGGUAGCGGAAUUCCCAGUGUAGAGGUGAAAUUCGUAGAUAUUGGGAAGAACACCGGUGGCGAAGGCGGCUACCUGGCCCGGUACUGACGCUGAGGCGCGACAGCGUGGGGAGCAAACAGGAUUAGAAACCCGAGUAGU
Molecule: ribosomal RNA, 271 nt
Filed under: uncultured bacterium
Lineage: Bacteria
Description: partial 16S ribosomal RNA
Rfam family: Bacterial small subunit ribosomal RNA
Source: RNAcentral